UACGGAGGGUGCAAGCGUUAUCCGGAUUCACUGGGUUUAAAGGGAGCGCAGGCGGAUUUGUAAGUCAGUGGUGAAAGGCUUAAGCUUAACUUGGGAACUGCCAUUGAUACUAUAAGUCUUGAAUGUUGUUGAGGUUUGCGGAAUGGGUCAUGUAGCGGUGAAAUGCAUAGAUAUGACCCGGAACACCUAUUGCGAAGGCAACAGGCUAAACAAAUAUUGACGCUGAGGCUCGAAAGCGUGGGGAUCAAACAGG
RNAcentral lists this ribosomal RNA (253 nucleotides) under uncultured bacterium. RNAcentral's name for it is "partial 16S ribosomal RNA". It matches the Rfam family "Bacterial small subunit ribosomal RNA", at positions 524 to 776 of the family's 1533-position model. The record is from RNAcentral.